This is a long non-coding RNA of Leopardus geoffroyi (Geoffroy's cat), 2398 nucleotides long. RefSeq lists it as uncharacterized. NCBI's taxonomy places the organism in Eukaryota, Metazoa, Chordata, Mammalia, Carnivora, Felidae. The record is from RefSeq and is a predicted model, not a curated record. The transcript has 2 exons.
GUGGCAUUCCAUCUAGCAAAUAGAAAGGUGCUCCUAUAAAAUAGAAGCUUUUAUAGGUAGAAAGGGGCAGAAAAAGGAAGUUUCUAACAAUGAGUGGAUUGUUUCAGACAAGGUCAACCCCACUGGAGGGAAGAGCAGGGGUCUAUCCAGUAGAUCAUGUCACUAGUGCUGACCAGGUAAUUCCAGAAUGGCUGGUUAAAGGUCACAGUCUUGGGAGAGGCUAACACUACAAGGAGGUUAAGUGUUAUUUGCUGACAUGGGGUUAGCAUGAGUGACUCCAUUUGGGGCCUGUGGUUUCUUUCUUUCUUUCUUUCUUUCUUUCUUUCUUUCUUUCUUUCUUUCUUUCUUUUUUUUUUUUAACAGACAUAAGCAUAUGUGAAGCAAUCAGAGAACAAGUAAGAAUUCAAUUAUGUCAUGUUGACACAAGCCCACAAAGAGACCAGAGAAGGAUGGCUUUGUGAAAAUGAGUCUUGAUUCAAUUAAAUUAAACAAACAUUAAUAGCAUCUUUAAUGCACAAGGCACUGUGUUAGGCACUGUGGGAGUAUGGGGGGGGGGGGGAACAAAGCCACAUCCUCAAAUUGUGGGGACAGAUAUGUAGGGAAAAUUGUAAUGUGGCAUAAAAAGUAUACACCACAGUGUUAAGGAGUGCUAUGGACUGUGUGUCCCCCUAAAAUUCAUAUGUUGAAGACCUACCCCCCCCCCCCAGUGUGAUGGCAUUUGGAGGCAGGAGUCAUAAUGAUGGGGCCCUGAUCUGAUGAGAUGUAUGCCCUUAUAAGAAGAGACAACAGAAAGCUUUUUUGUGACCCGCACCCCCUCUUCCCUGUGCCCUGUGUGUGUGUGCAUACAAAAGCAGUCGUGAGCACACAGCAAGAAAUAGGCUGGUCUACAAGCCAAGAAGAGAGCCCUCGCAGGAAUGUGAUCUUGCUGGCACCCUGGCCUUGGACUUCCAGUCUCUAGAACUGUGAGAAAGCAAACGUCUGUUGUUUAAGCCACCCAGUGUUGGUAUUUUGUUAUGGCAGCCUAAGCUGACUAAGACAUGGAAACAUAGAUGAGAGAGACUGUAAAGGGUUCUAUCACGGAGGGCUUCCUGGAGGAGAUGAAAUUGGGGUUGUGGGAUGAGUCAGGUUCUAAAGAGGAAGGUGUGAAAAGGGCAUUGCAGGCUGAAGAAGCAGCCAAAGGCAGAGGGUGGUAUUGCAGCAGUCUAUGCAGUGGGGUCAUAGAGCUCUUAGAGCCUGAGGUGGAGAGGUAAGGGAGAGAUGGAGCUAAGAGGGAAGGCAGGCCCCAAGUCUAGGAACCUUGAAGACACUAAGGAGCAUGGAUCUUGCUUUAAUAAGAGGAGGGUAGGGGCAUCAGUGUUUUUGAACAGGUGAACAGCACUAUUGGAAAGGAGCCAGUGGCUGCAUGGGAAGCAGUGAUUGGCAGGAGGGCAGGCUACAAGGAGAGAAGCCAUGAGGCUGACAAGGCAAUGGGCGGGGCCAGAGGUGAUACCCAUAAGGUCCCAUAGGUCAGGGCAAGAGCAGCACCCAAGGGUAGUACGUGGAACCACCUAACUGUGGGGAUGAUGCAGGUGGCCAAAGGUGAGACUGGAGGGGUGGUUCCCAAAUUCCUCUUUGCCUUUCUUUGAGCCCCCACCAGACCCUCCUCUUCAUGCUUUGUGUUUCUGCUUCCAAUCUUCUUUUGCGCAUCUCUGCAUCUUUGGAUUUCCAUGUUUCUGCAAAAUAACAGGGCUUUCCUUUCAUCUUGCCCCCAGUCCAGCCCAUGGCUCUUCUAUGGUUGGAGGAGGAGAGGAAAAAGGGCCUUAAGAGAGAAGGGAUACCAGGGAGAGAGUUGUGAGGGAAGAAGCUGAUGCACAAAUAACUAAUGUUUCCUUCUUUCCUCCCUCCCUUCCUUUUUUCCUUCCUUCUGGGAAAUUUCUAUGUGCUAGGCUUUGUUCCAAGCAGUUUACAUGAAUUAACCCAGUUAAUCUCAACAGUGGCCCCACAGGGAGGGCACAUAACUGCUGGUCAAGAACACAGGCUUGACUGCCAGACUCCCUGGUUUGUAACUCCAGCUUCACAUCCACUGGCUGCAUGAUCUUGGGCAAGUGACUGAAUGUGUCUUUGCCUUGACUCCUUCAUCUAUAUGAUGAGGAUGGUGAUGGUUCCCACUUCAUAGGCUUGUAAGGAAUAAAUGAGUUAAAAUAUACAAUGGUGAUUGGCACAAAGGGAGUGGUCAGUCAGUAUUUUAAUAUAAGAGAACUGAAGUCCACAGAGAAUUUACUUUCCCAAGUUCAUCCAGGUAGUAAAUGGAUGGCCAAGUUUUGGACCCAAACCAACUAUAUGUCUAGUUAGUGAAUCCUGCCUUUCCACUGAACAGAUAUGAAGAGAGAGCAGGAAGAAGUUGAGGUGGAUGAUGUAG